GACGAACGCUGGCGGCGUGCCUAAUACAUGCAAGUCGAGCGAAGUUUUUCUGGUGCUUGCACUAGAAAAACUUAGCGGCGAACGGGUGAGUAACACGUAAAGAACCUGCCUCAUAGACUGGGACAACUAUUGGAAACGAUAGCUAAUACCGGAUAACAGUAUUUCUCGCAUGAGAGAUAUUUAAAAGUUGGUUAUGCUAACACUAUGAGAUGGCUUUGCGGUGCAUUAGCUAGUUGGUGGGGUAAAGGCCCACCAAGGCGACGAUGCAUAGCCGACCUGAGAGGGUGAUCGGCCACACUGGGACUGAGACACGGCCCAGACUCCUACGGGAGGCAGCAGUAGGGAAUCUUCCGCAAUGGGCGAAAGCCUGACGGAGCAACGCCGCGUGAGUGAAGAAGGAUUUCGGUUCGUAAAGCUCUGUUGUUAGGGAAGAAUGAAUAUGUAGUAACUAUACAUGUAAGAGACGGUACCUAACCAGAAAGCCACGGCUAACUACGUG
RNAcentral lists this ribosomal RNA (499 nucleotides) under uncultured bacterium. RNAcentral's name for it is "partial 16S ribosomal RNA". It matches the Rfam family "Bacterial small subunit ribosomal RNA", at positions 28 to 507 of the family's 1533-position model. The record is from RNAcentral.